UAUAUUUGCUUCAUUACCAUCCUUAUCUUUAGAGGCUUCAUUCACUUUAUUAUACCACCGAUCCUUGUACAUGUGACCCCAUUUAUCACAAUUGGAACAUUACAUUAUGUUCUUGUCAACCUUAUCUUUACCAUGAGAAGUCCACACUCUUUUUGAAGAUUUAGGCUUGUCAUCAUUUUUUUGCUUCUAAGAAUGAUGCCAUAAACCUUUCUUGGAAUUACUUUUGUCGAAUUUC
Molecule: long non-coding RNA, 235 nt
Filed under: Lathyrus oleraceus (garden pea)
Lineage: Eukaryota; Viridiplantae; Streptophyta; Magnoliopsida; Fabales; Fabaceae
Description: Pisum sativum (pea) long non-coding RNA (PSAT_LNC032413)
Source: RNAcentral